Molecule: long non-coding RNA, 2549 nt
Organism: Astatotilapia calliptera (eastern happy)
Lineage: Eukaryota; Metazoa; Chordata; Actinopteri; Cichliformes; Cichlidae
Source: Ensembl
UCUUGGCUUAUUCAGAUAUAUUUAUUUUCAUCUCAUUUACAAAUAAUAAUGCAAAGAUACAAAGACAGAAGCCUUCACACGAGAAAAAUACAUCAGGUACAUUUUAAAUGGAAAGCCCCGCCCCAAAUCUAUAACGUCGCUCACAUUUACAGCCAACUUGGAUUAUUUUGGUCCAAUUUUAACAGUUAAAAUAGAAAACGCACAAUUUGAAGAACAAGGUUUGGACCAGUUGCUUUUAAAGGGUUAGCUCAAAAAGAAAAAGUACAGACCUGCCAAGCUCUGCUGCAGAAUGCUAGAUUUGCAUAUUAUACGAGCAUAAUGUUUCCUGUUGCUGCGAGUGCACUACAGAAACAUAGUGCACCUCUUCACGGCAACAGGAACAUAGUGCAUUUGCAGUGUGUGGAAUAGUUUCACUCAACUUAAAAUACAUUGUAGAACGUUUUAGCUGCCAUUGUGUGAGUCUUGAACCAGCACUGGGCCGUCCUCGAAAUGCACUCACAGGAUUCAUAGCUGUGGGCAACCCACUGAGUGACCUUACACUCUGUUUCAUCUUCCUGAUUCAGUUUGUGUUUUAACAGCUUGUGUCACAGAGCCACUAUUAGUCUGACUGUACAGUAUUUGUAUGUGAUUUUUCUUACUCGUGUUAUUUCUCAUCGUGUCCAUGUUAUGUCUCAGUGUUUUUUUUUUCACUACAAAAUACGAUUUCACCACAAAUUUAUAAAACAAAGGCGAAACUAAAUGGUUAGUUUAAAGCAAAAUACAAUAUGUCAAGAUACUUUGAAAUUCGGCAUCAUGCAGAAAAUAGAUUUCUCAUCUAGUGGACAGGAUAUAGCAGUCAUUUCUUUAAAGGGGACCUGUUAUGCUCAUUUCCAGCACCAAAUUUAAAAAAACAAACAACUGCUGACUCUUCUAGAGUAGACGUGCAGGAUUCACAGUACAGAAUAACCCCCACGUAUCUUAUAGAGGGCCCUGGUGCAGCUUCUCAGGACAUCUUUUGUUUAUGCAACAGGCUGUUUUAGCUUUUUUCCCCUUAAACAUACAGAAGGUUUGAACGAAAGGUGGGUGGAGUUCAGGCCUAGUAGUUGGUGCAUUGUAUUGUAAAUUCACUUUGGACAAGUCACAAAAAAAAACAAGCAGGCAUGCAGGCGUCUGCAAGGGCCUUCACGAAAGUAGCGUCACUGGGACCCAAGUGGCCCGAGUGACAUAAAGUAUAAGACCCACAGACACGUUUUAGAAAUCAAUUUCAUAGUGACUUAAUUGCCAAACAAUCUCUAGGCGUAUCCCACUGGGGCCUUUGAUGAGCAUACUAAGACUAUCCACUCUCAGUGACAUCAUACAGAGCCAAGAGCAGAAAAAAACUAAGCAUUUAGGACAGGCUUUGGAUAAAGUAAUUACUGUGGUCUUGUUUAUUAUUAGUGUCUCCCAUUCUAAGAGCAAAUAUAACUGGAAGGAGAUGCAUAACAGGUGCCCCUUUAAUUCAUGUUGUAGAAAUCAGUAAUUGUGUCCAACCUAAACAAUGACUUUGUAGGUAAAUAUGAAAUAAUUUGAACCAUAAUGGGAUCAUUUGAGGAAAAAAAGAGGAUGUUUUAUAAAAGUUUUAAAUUUUUUCUCUUACUUAUGGCUAUCUUUUUUUUUUUUUUUUUUUACCUUUGGUUCAACUGUUGAUUUUACUUUAAAAAGAAGGAGAAAAAAGAAACAGUGCUGUAGACAAAUCUGCUCUGAAGUAAAGACCAAAAGAAUCUAAAUAGUCUAAUAUGUAACAGGAAGUGGAAUUCCUGCAGAAUAAAAGUUUUUCAAGUAAAUGAAAAGUGCUUCAAGGGCCUUGAAAUGCAUAUGGACGAGGUCCAAACGAAAUAUCAGAUAACUCUGAAUUAAUAAAUAAUAAUAUUGAAAUAACUGUUCAACCUUACUGAUUCACUGUUUAAACCACAAAAUUGUUUAGCUAAUCUACACUGCAAGUGGUUCUACAUGCAUGUAGUCUGUUUUUCCAGAUACAGUAUUUAACUCAGCUGAAACAUUUUAAGGUAGAGGAAAACAAACGUUGCUCUGCUGUAAACUCUUGUCUCUGUAAACACUGGUGCGAUACCUGAACGUUACUGCUUAAAAAGGUGGCAGUAACAGGCGACGCAUCAGUCAGCGCUUAUCUACAUGAGCACAAAAAGUGUUUAAAAAAAAACACAAAACAAAAAAACAAACGGAAAUAAAGAACCCACAAAAGAUGUCAGGCUCACUAUAAAGUCUGGAGGUCCAGCAGAGAAUAUAGAGCCACAAUGACAUAUUGCAGCACAGUAUUUCUCAGUGCAUUUUCUUACUUUGACAUCAUAUCACAUAAAGCACGAAAAACAUUGUUCCUACCAUACAGAAAUAUACAAAGCUAGUCUAUAGAUUUACAAUGACAUAAUCAAAACUGUGUGGGUGUUCCACGGGAAAAAAAGCGCAUACUGGAUAUUGCGGUAUAAAACACAGUAUCAAACGACGGCUUCUACAUGUGCAUGAAAGGCUGAUUACCACAUAUCUGAUGCUUUUAGGCUUCACUUAGCAGUCACGUA